GCGCAGCUGCGCGUGCUUAAACAUGCAAGUCGAACGACGAAGGUGGUGCUUGCCCGCCUGAUUAGUGGCGAACGGGUGAGUAACACGUGAGUAACCUGCCCUCCACUUCGGGAUAACCUCGGGAAAUCGUGGCUAAUACCGGAUAUGAGCACUCAUCGCAUGGUGGGUGUUGGAAAGAUUUAUCGGUGGGGGAUGGACUCGCGGCCUAUCAGUUUGUUGGUGAGGUGAUGGCUCACCAAGACGAUGACGGGUAGCCGGCCUGAGAGGGCGACCGGCCACACUGGGACUGAGACACGGCCCAGACUCCUACGGGAGGCAGCAGUGGGGAAUAUUGCACAAGGGCGAAAGCCUGAUGCAGCGACGCCGCGUGGGGGAUGACGGCCUUCGGGUUGUAAACCCCUUUCAGUAGGGAAGAAGCGA
This 420-nucleotide ribosomal RNA is filed under the name Brachybacterium paraconglomeratum. RNAcentral describes it as "bacterial SSU rRNA". It matches the Rfam family "Bacterial small subunit ribosomal RNA", at positions 39 to 453 of the family's 1533-position model. Lineage: Bacteria; Bacillati; Actinomycetota; Actinomycetes; Micrococcales; Dermabacteraceae. The record is from RNAcentral.